GAUUAGUCCAUAUUUUUGCAUAUUUAAAUGCCUAUUUUUUGUUUAUUUUCGUAGUAUUAAUCGCUUAUUUAUUUUAUUUCAGGAAAAUGUAGAUAAAUAAAGAAAGAAGAGAAAAUGCAAGAAAAAGGGAGAAAAAGAAAAGAAAAGAAGAAAAUCAAAGAGAGUUGGCAAGCAAGGGGGCACAUGGAUGGCUAUGAUUUACCCAACACACAUCACACAUGGAUGGAUUAGAUUUAGCCACCCUACCCCUAAACCCUACAUUUCUAGCUAUAAAUACCCCCACC
RNAcentral lists this long non-coding RNA (284 nucleotides) under Daucus carota (carrot). RNAcentral describes it as "long non-coding RNA (DCAR_LNC007379)". Lineage: Eukaryota; Viridiplantae; Streptophyta; Magnoliopsida; Apiales; Apiaceae. The record is from RNAcentral.